Molecule: long non-coding RNA, 677 nt
Filed under: Pan troglodytes (chimpanzee)
Lineage: Eukaryota; Metazoa; Chordata; Mammalia; Primates; Hominidae
Description: long non-coding RNA NONPTRT011009
Source: RNAcentral
AACACCUGCUCUCACCUGAGCCCCAGGUGAAGGGGCCUGGAACACCUCCUGUCACCUGAGCCCCAGGUGAAGGGGCCCGGGAACACCUCUCACCUGAACCCGGGGGUCCCAUCCCAGGAAGAAGGGCCAUCUCAGGACAUGAGUCCUCAGGGGCCCUGCACAUUCAAUCUGAAGGUGACCCUGGCCUGGCUGAAGCUGGAAGAGCUGUGGGGACUCAGCCUGUAAACAGAGCGUAAGGUUCACAUGCUGGUUGCUUAAUCCGUUUCUGGAGGAAAAGUAUGACCCCCACUUGUGAUGGGGUCCUUGUGCGGUGGGGACCGGGGCCGGCGGGCUCCAGGCCAGCACACCUAACCCAUGGAUGUGGAACCUACGGCCCAGAAGGAAUGUUGCAUGAGUCGGAUCCCAGUCCAUUGUCAGUGGAGGGUGAGGGUGACCCCAUCUGAUAUUUUUGUGCUCAUCCUCAUACAACCAUUUGGGGAUGUGCCUAUUAGGGCUCCGUAAGAGCUCAGAUGCCUGGGAAGCCCAGCCCCUCAGGUGCCCCCACACACAGCCUUCCCUUGACGCCUACAUUUCUAGGCACAUGUGAGGCAUCUUUCCUGGAGCCCCGAGCCAGCCCUGUCCCUCCCCAGUGCAGCAUGGCACUCAGGAGAUACAGGCUGGACAUGGGGCAGUCGUUC